Molecule: small nuclear RNA, 164 nt
Organism: Castor canadensis (American beaver)
Lineage: Eukaryota; Metazoa; Chordata; Mammalia; Rodentia; Castoridae
Gene: U1
Rfam family: U1 spliceosomal RNA
About the family: U1 is a small nuclear RNA (snRNA) component of the spliceosome (involved in pre-mRNA splicing). Its 5' end forms complementary base pairs with the 5' splice junction, thus defining the 5' donor site of an intron. There are significant differences in sequence and secondary structure between metazoan and yeast U1 snRNAs, the latter being much longer (568 nucleotides as compared to 164 nucleotides in human).
Source: Ensembl
AUACUUACCUGGCAGAGGAGAUACCAUGAUCAUGAAGGUGGUUUUCCCAGGGUGAGGCUUAUCCAUUGCACUCCGGAUGUGCUGAUCCUUGUGAUUUCCCCAAAUGUGGGAAACUCCACUGCACAAUUUGUGGUAGUGGGAGACUGCGUUCGCACUGUCCCCUG